AGACACUGUGAUAGGAACCAUAGGGAGUAGUGUAGACUCCUGUAGGAGGCUCUGAGAUGGGGCCUUUAAGAAAUAGGGAGGUCCCUGAGCGAAGCUGCUGGAGUUUCCUGAGGGGAGGCAAGAUGGGGAGAAUUUGUGAGGCCCAAGAAAGUGAGAACCAACUUUGGGUGGAUUUUAGAUAGUUUGUUUGGGGGUUUAAACUGGACUUUUGUUACCCAGGAUGGAGACUGAUAUUUAAACGUGAGCUGGCUGGAUCACUAUGUCUCCAAGAAGACGACUGUGGAUGAAGCACGAUGGCUGAGAAAAGGAAGCACUCGAGAGAAGAAUCCCUGCAACACCUUUGCCCUGCCACCAGGGAUACUGUGGUGAAUCAGAGCACCAGCUGGGGGACAGGCCACUUCCUGGAAGUCAGUGACCAGUUGGAGUUAGAAGCUGUCAGCGGUACCUGAGGCCAUCAACUCUCUUAGCAGGAAAGAUUUCACCCUUUUCAGCACAAAUUUUGACUCAUUUCAGCUACUUACAUGUCUGCACGCUGGAGGAAUGAGCUGGUCCCCUUAAACGGAAUCUGAGAGAAGGUGUCUGGAAAACGGGGAACCCACAAGGAAAAAUGACACAUAGGUACUUGACUGAACAGAUGAAGUGAGUUGUUAUAGCAACUUGAGUUCUAAAAACAGUAGAGGAAACCGACAUGAUGCCACUCCUACUGAAGAAUUCACAUGACUGCUAUCGAAAUUCUAACAUUGAGGAAACACCUUUCUCCUAUUAUUUUUAAAUUCAAUGCACAUAGGCUUCCUCAGCAAAAUCUGUGUAAAUC
Molecule: long non-coding RNA, 814 nt
Organism: Mauremys reevesii (Reeves's turtle)
Lineage: Eukaryota; Metazoa; Chordata; Testudines; Geoemydidae
Exons: 3
Source: RefSeq, a predicted model, not a curated record